This is a long non-coding RNA of Mytilus californianus (California mussel), 978 nucleotides long. RefSeq lists it as uncharacterized. NCBI's taxonomy places the organism in Eukaryota, Metazoa, Mollusca, Bivalvia, Mytilida, Mytilidae. The transcript is spliced from 2 exons. The record is from RefSeq and is a predicted model, not a curated record.
ACCAUGUAUUUUUGAUUUUUGGGCCCCGUUAUCAAAUUGGUCCACAUUGAGGUAAAAAGGGUCCAAACUUAAACUUUGUUUGAUUUCAUCAAAAAUUGAAUUCUUUGGAUUCUUUAAUUUGAUAUGCUGAAUCUAACAAUGUAUUUAGAUUUUGGAUAUUGGACCAUAAUAGGUAAAUUAAAAAAAUUUAAGUUCUUAGACCACAUUCAUUCUGUGUCAGAAACCUAUGCUGUGUCAAAUAUUUGAUCACAAUCCAAAUUCAGUGCUGUAUCAAGCUUGAAUGUUGUGUCCAUACUUGCCCCAACUGUUCAGGGUUCGACCUCUGCGGUCGUAUCUAGCUGCGCCCAGCAGAGCAUUUUAUUGAUUUAUAUAUAAAAGCAAAUAAUAAUGAUAUGGUUUGAUUUCAUCAAAAAUUGAAAUAUUGGGGUUCUUAGAUAUGCUGAAUCUAACCGUGUAUUUAGAUUCUUAAUUUUUGGUCCCGUUUUCAAAUUGGUCUACAUUAAGGUCCAAAGGGUCCAAAAUUAAACUUAGUUUGAUUUUAACAAAGAUUGAAUUCUUGGGGUUCUUUGAUAUGCUGAAUCUAACUGUGUAUGUAUUUAGAUUUUGGAUAUUGGACCAUAAUAGGUAAAUUAAAAUUUGUUAAGUUCUUAGACCACAUUCAUUCUGUGUCAGAAACCUAUGCUGUGUCAAAUAUUUAAUCACAAUCCAAAUUCAGAGCUGUAUCAAGCUUGAAUGUUGUGUCCAUACUUGCUCCAACUGUUCAGGGUUCGACCUCUGCGGUCGUAUCAAGCUGCGCCCAGCGGAGCAUUUUAUUUCUAUUGUUCAGACCUAUAUGACAUGACUGUCGAACCAUUUGUCUGACAGAAACUCAAACAGUUUGGCACAAACUGUUAUGGAAUUGUUAUAUGAAAUUUUUUCCACUUUCCAUCCUUGCCUACUCACACAUGACUUUUUAAAAUUAAUUUUGCAGGUUUUUUU